Molecule: ribosomal RNA, 1449 nt
Filed under: Advenella mimigardefordensis
Lineage: Bacteria; Pseudomonadati; Pseudomonadota; Betaproteobacteria; Burkholderiales; Alcaligenaceae
Description: 16S ribosomal RNA
Rfam family: Bacterial small subunit ribosomal RNA
Source: RNAcentral
UGAACGCCAGCGGGAUGCCUUACACAUGCAAGUCGAACGGCAGCGGGAAAGUAGCUUGCUACUUUUGCCGGCGAGUGGCGAACGGGUGAGUAAUGUAUCGGAACGUGCCCAGUAGCGGGGGAUAACUACGCGAAAGCGUGGCUAAUACCGCAUACGCCCUACGGGGGAAAGGGGGGGAUCUUAGGACCUCUCACUAUUGGAGCGGCCGAUAUCGGAUUAGCUAGUUGGUGGGGUAAAGGCCUACCAAGGCGACGAUCCGUAGCUGGUUUGAGAGGACGACCAGCCACACUGGGACUGAGACACGGCCCAGACUCCUACGGGAGGCAGCAGUGGGGAAUUUUGGACAAUGGGGGAAACCCUGAUCCAGCCAUCCCGCGUGUGCGAUGAAGGCCUUCGGGUUGUAAAGCACUUUUGUCAGGGAAGAAAAGGUUUCGGAUAAUACCCGGAACUGAUGACGGUACCUGAAGAAUAAGCACCGGCUAACUACGUGCCAGCAGCCGCGGUAAUACGUAGGGUGCAAGCGUUAAUCGGCAAUUACUGGGCGUAAAGCGUGCGCAGGCGGUUCGGAAAGAAAGAUGUGAAAUCCCAGGGCUCAACCUUGGAACUGCAUUUUUAACUACCGAACUAGAGUAUGUCAGAGGGGGGUGGAAUUCCACGUGUAGCAGUGAAAUGCGUAGAUAUGUGGAGGAACACCGAUGGCGAAGGCAGCCCCCUGGGAUAAUACUGACGCUCAUGCACGAAAGCGUGGGGAGCAAACAGGAUUAGAUACCCUGGUAGUCCACGCCCUAAACGAUGUCAACUAGCUGUUGGGCCCUUCGGGGCUUAGUAGCGCAGCUAACGCGUGAAGUUGACCGCCUGGGGAGUACGGUCGCAAGAUUAAAACUCAAAGGAAUUGACGGGGACCCGCACAAGCGGUGGAUGAUGUGGGAUUAAUUCGAUGCAACCGCGAAAAAACCUUACCUACCCUUGACAUGUCUGGAAUCCUGAAGAGAUUUAGGAGUGCUCGCAAGAGAACCGGAACACAGGUGCUGCAUGGCUGUCGUCACUCGUGUCGUGAGAUGUUGGUUAAGUCCCGCAACGAGCGCAACCCUUGUCAUUAGUUGCUACAUUUAGUUGAGCACUCUAAUGAGACUGCCGGUGACAAACCGGAGGAAGGUGGGGAUGACGUCAAGUCCUCAUGGCCCUUAUGGGUAGGGCUUCACACGUCAUACAAUGGUCGGGACAGAGGGUUGCCAAACCGCAAGGUGGAGCUAAUCUCAUAAACCCGAUCGUAGUCCGGAUUGCAGGCUGCAACUCGCCUGCAUGAAGUCGGAAUCGCUAGUAAUCGCGGAUCAGCAUGUCGCGGUGAAUACGUUCCCGGGUCUUGUACACACCGCCCGUCACACCAUGGGAGUGGGUUUUACCAGAAGUAGUUAGCCUAACCGCAAGGGGGGCGAUUACCACGGUAGG